RNAcentral lists this ribosomal RNA (252 nucleotides) under uncultured bacterium. Its description in RNAcentral is "partial 16S ribosomal RNA". It matches the Rfam family "Bacterial small subunit ribosomal RNA", at positions 524 to 776 of the family's 1533-position model. The record is from RNAcentral.
UACGUAGGUCCCGAGCGUUGUCCGGAUUUAUUGGGCGUAAAGCGAGCGCAGGUGGUUUAUUAAGUCUGGUGUAAAAGGCAGUGGCUCAACCAUUGUAUGCAUUGGAAACUGGUAGACUUGAGUGCAGGAGAGGAGAGUGGAAUUCCAUGUGUAGCGGUGAAAUGCGUAGAUAUAUGGAGGAACACCGGUGGCGAAAGCGGCUUUCUGGCCUGUGACUGACACUGAGGCUCGAAAGCGUGGGGAGCAAACAGG